AUUUAGGUGAUGAACAAAGAUGGUUUAAAAGGAUAAUUCAGUAGGAGAAAAUAAACUCUAGGUCCUUCUACUAUUGAUGGUGAAGAAAUGAUGGCCCUAAAUUAAGCAAGUCUUCAUAAAAUUGGUACCAAUAUUUGCAAUGAUGCACUUUGUUAAACUAUUUAUUUUUAUUGAAUUUCCUCUUGUGGCAAUAAUGAAUUCAUAUUUCAUUUUAAUGUGAAAUUAUGGCAUACAUCUAACAUGCAUUCGUAUGUGUAGUAUUUGACGUUAUUUUUAGUCACUUAGUUUUAGCCCUAGGCUUUUAGAAAUCCUGGCUCCGCCUCUGCCCCUGCUCUCACAUGGCGGCGACCUGUGUCGGAUCUGGAACAACAACUCUCAGCGGCAGAGAAGAAAAAACGUGGGGGUGUUGUUAUAACACCUCGGAUGUAACUUUUCCAAUUUGUAUUCCAACUUUUGCCGUUUUCGGCGUUAAGUUAAUUUAUUUCCUCGGGUUCGGGUUU
This is a non-coding RNA of Triticum urartu, 500 nucleotides long. Lineage: Eukaryota; Viridiplantae; Streptophyta; Magnoliopsida; Poales; Poaceae. The record is from RefSeq and is a predicted model, not a curated record.